RNAcentral lists this ribosomal RNA (345 nucleotides) under uncultured Treponema sp. Its description in RNAcentral is "bacterial SSU rRNA". It matches the Rfam family "Bacterial small subunit ribosomal RNA", at positions 355 to 692 of the family's 1533-position model. The record is from RNAcentral. Lineage: Bacteria; Pseudomonadati; Spirochaetota; Spirochaetia; Treponematales; Treponemataceae.
CUAAGAAUAUUCCGCAAUGGACGAAAGUCUGACGGAGCGACGCCGCGUGGAUGAAGAAGGCCGGAAGGUUGUAAAGUUCUUUUAAGCAUGAAGAAGGAUUAUUGCAGGAAAUGGCAGUAAAGUGACGGUAGUGCUUGAAUAAGAGGCGGCUAAUUACGUGCCAGCAGCCGCGGUAACACGUAAGCCUCGAGCGUUGUUCGGAAUUAUUGGGCGUAAAGGGCAUGUAGGCGGUAUUGCAAGCCUGGUGUGAAAGGCAGGGGCUCAACCUCUGGACUGCGCUGGGAACUGCGAUACUAGAGUCGCUGAGGGGCAAUCAGAAUUCCAGGUGUAGGGGUGAAAUCUGUA